UCGGGGGUCGUCUAAUGGCAGGACAACGGUCUUUGGAACCGUGAAUCCAGGUUCGAGUCCUGGCCCCCGAG
RNAcentral lists this transfer RNA (71 nucleotides) under Chloroflexota bacterium. Its description in RNAcentral is "Chloroflexi bacterium (bioreactor metagenome) tRNA-Gln". It matches the Rfam family "tRNA". From Rfam's summary of the family: Transfer RNA (tRNA) molecules are approximately 80 nucleotides in length. Lineage: Bacteria; Bacillati; Chloroflexota. The record is from RNAcentral. RNAcentral also lists the same sequence under 1 other name.